GACGAACCGAGCGAACGUUGUUCGGAAUCACUGGGCUUAAAGGGCGCGUAGGCGGGCUCUCAAGUCCGGGGUGAAAUCCUCCAGCUCAACUGGAGAACUGCCUCGGAUACUGGGGGUCUCGAGUCCGGGAGAGGUGAGUGGAAUUCCUAGUGUAGAGGUGAAAUUCGUAGAUAUUAGGAAGAACACCCGUGGCGAAGGCGGCUCUCUGGGACGGUACUGACGCUGAGACGCGAAAGCGUGGGGAGCGAACAGG
This 253-nucleotide ribosomal RNA is filed under the name uncultured bacterium. RNAcentral describes it as "partial 16S ribosomal RNA". It matches the Rfam family "Bacterial small subunit ribosomal RNA", at positions 524 to 776 of the family's 1533-position model. The record is from RNAcentral.